This 305-nucleotide ribosomal RNA is filed under the name uncultured bacterium. RNAcentral describes it as "bacterial SSU rRNA". It matches the Rfam family "Bacterial small subunit ribosomal RNA", at positions 337 to 635 of the family's 1533-position model. The record is from RNAcentral.
CCCUACGGGGGGCAGCAGUAGGGAAUUUUCGUCAAUGGGCGCAAGCCUGAACGAGCGAUGCCGCGUGAGUGAAGAAGGCCUUCGGAUCGUAAAGUUCUGUUGAAGGGGAAAAAGAGCGGAGAGAGGAAAUGGUCUCCGAUUGAUAUUACCCUUCGAGGAAGUCACGGCUAACUACGUGCCAGCAGCCGCGGUAAUACGUAGGUGGCGAGCGUUAUCCGGAAUGAUUGGGCGUAAAGGGUGCGUAGGCGGCCUGCUAAGUCUGGAGUGAAAGGUACCGGCUCAACCGGUACAGGCUCUGGAAACUG